Molecule: small nuclear RNA, 89 nt
Filed under: Ursus americanus (American black bear)
Lineage: Eukaryota; Metazoa; Chordata; Mammalia; Carnivora; Ursidae
Source: RNAcentral
UAAAAUAAAAUAAAAUUGGAACGAUACAGAGAUUAGCAUAGCCUCUGCGCAAGGAUGACGUGCAAAUUUGUGAAGCAUCCGCCAUUUUG